RNAcentral lists this ribosomal RNA (253 nucleotides) under uncultured bacterium. RNAcentral describes it as "partial 16S ribosomal RNA". It matches the Rfam family "Bacterial small subunit ribosomal RNA", at positions 524 to 776 of the family's 1533-position model. The record is from RNAcentral.
UACGUAGGGUCCGAGCGUUGUCCGGAAUUACUGGGCGUAAAGAGCUCGUAGGUGGUUUGUCGCGUUGUCCGUGAAAACUCACAGCUCAACUGUGGGCGUGCGGGCGAUACGGGCAGACUAGAGUACUGCAGGGGAGACUGGAAUUCCUGGUGUAGCGGUGGAAUGCGCAGAUAUCAGGAGGAACACCGGUGGCGAAGGCGGGUCUCUGGGCAGUAACUGACGCUGAGGAGCGAAAGCGUGGGGAGCGAACAGG